This 641-nucleotide ribosomal RNA is filed under the name uncultured bacterium. RNAcentral's name for it is "bacterial SSU rRNA". It matches the Rfam family "Bacterial small subunit ribosomal RNA", at positions 9 to 606 of the family's 1533-position model. The record is from RNAcentral.
GAGUUUGAUCCUGGCUCAGGAUGAACGCCGGCGGUGUGCCUAAUACAUGCAAGUCGUACGCACUGGCCCAACUGAUUGAUGGUGCUUGCACCUGAUUGACGAUGGAUCACCAGUGAGUGGCGGACGGGUGAGUAACACGUAGGUAACCUGCCCCAGAGCGGGGGAUAACAUUUGGAAACAGAUGCUAAUACCGCAUAACAACAAAAGCCACAUGGCUUUUGUUUGAAAGAUGGCUUUGGCUAUCACUCUGGGAUGGACCUGCGGUGCAUUAGCUAGUUGGUAAGGUAACGGCUUACCAAGGCGAUGAUGCAUAGCCGAGUUGAGAGACUGAUCGGCCACAAUGGAACUGAGACACGGUCCAUACUCCUACGGGAGGCAGCAGUAGGGAAUCUUCCACAAUGGGCGCAAGCCUGAUGGAGCAACACCGCGUGAGUGAAGAAGGGUUUCGGCUCGUAAAGCUCUGUUGUUGGAGAAGAACGUGCGUGAGAGUAACUGUUCACGCAGUGACGGUAUCCAACCAGAAAGUCACGGCUAACUACGUGCCAGCAGCCGCGGUAAUACGUAGGUGGCAAGCGUUAUCCGGAUUUAUUGGGCGUAAAGCGAGCGCAGGCGGUUGCUUAGGUCUGAUGUGAAAGCCUUCG